GACGAACGCUGGCGGCGUGCUUAACACAUGCAAGUCGAACGGAAAGGCCCUGCUUUUGUGGGGUGCUCGAGUGGCGAACGGAUGGGUAACACGUGAGUAACCUGCCCUUGACUUUGGGAUAACUUCAGGAAACUGGGGCUAAUACCGGAUAGGAGCUCCUGCUGCAUGGUGGGGGUUGGAAAGUUUCGGCGGUUGGGGAUGGACUCGCGGCUUAUCAGCUUGUUGGUGGGGUAGUGGCUUACCAAGGCUUUGACGGGUAGCCGGCCUGAGAGGGUGACCGGCCACAUUGGGACUGAGAUACGGCCCAGACUCCUACGGGAGGCAGCAGUGGGGAAUAUUGCACAAUGGGCGGAAGCCUGAUGCAGCAACGCCGCGUGCGGGAUGACGGCCUUCGGGUUGUAAACCGCUUUCGCCUGUGACGAAGCGUGAGUGACGGUAAUGGGUAAAGAAGCACCGGCUAACUACGUG
RNAcentral lists this ribosomal RNA (468 nucleotides) under uncultured bacterium. RNAcentral describes it as "partial 16S ribosomal RNA". It matches the Rfam family "Bacterial small subunit ribosomal RNA", at positions 28 to 507 of the family's 1533-position model. The record is from RNAcentral.